UAUUCCCUACGGGGCGCAGCAGUGAGGAAUAUUGGUCAAUGGGCGCGAGCCUGAACCAGCCACGUCGCGUGAGGGAAGACGGUCCUAUGGAUUGUAAACCUCUUUUGUCGGGGAGCAAAAGACACCACGUGUGGCGUUCCGAGAGUACCCGAAGAAAAAGCAUCGGCUAACUCCGUGCCAGCAGCCGCGGUAAUACGGAGGAUGCGAGCGUUAUCCGGAUUUACUGGGUUUAAAGGGUGCGCAGGCGGAAGAUCAAGUCGGCGGUAAAAUUGAGAGGCUCAACCUCUUCGAGCCGUUGAAACUGG
Molecule: ribosomal RNA, 305 nt
Filed under: uncultured bacterium
Lineage: Bacteria
Description: bacterial SSU rRNA
Rfam family: Bacterial small subunit ribosomal RNA
Source: RNAcentral